Molecule: long non-coding RNA, 319 nt
Filed under: Vigna radiata
Lineage: Eukaryota; Viridiplantae; Streptophyta; Magnoliopsida; Fabales; Fabaceae
Description: long non-coding RNA (VRAD_LNC006567)
Source: RNAcentral
GGGAGAUGUCUUCCACCACCGGAUUCAGCAAGGAAGUCUUGAGGAAGAACUGCUUCAUCCUCCAGAUUUGAUCAAGCAGGGAGAUGUCCUCCACAGCUGGAUCUAAGAAGCAGUGAUUGUUGAUGAGCAGGUUCAGCUGGUGCCUAUUGAUGCUAAAGCUUUUGUGUAUGCUUGCACCUUUGUUUUCCACUGUGGGUGCUUGUUGGUCAAAUUUAUGUGUACCUCCUGCAACAUGGUUAGUGCAUUGUGGCUCCACAGAAAUAACAUGCAGGGGUAUAACACCCAAUCCCAGUGUAAGAGGUUGAACCUCAGAUAUACC